CAGCCGCCGCGGUAAUACGUAGGUGGCAAGCGUUGUCCGGAAUUACUGGGCGUAUAGCGCACGUGGGCGGCUUUGUAAGUCAGAGGUGAAAGCCUGGAGCUCAACUCCAGAACUGCCUUUGAGACUGCAUCGCUUGAAUCCAGGAGAGGUGAGUGGAAUUCCGAGUGUAGAGGUGAAAUUCGUAGAUAUUCGGAAGAACACCAGUGGCGAAGGCGGCUCACUGGACUGGUAUUGACGCUGAGGUGCGAAAGCAUGGGGAGCAAACAGGAUUAGAUACCCCCGUAGUCCCUGUCUCUUAUAU
RNAcentral lists this ribosomal RNA (301 nucleotides) under uncultured bacterium. Its description in RNAcentral is "partial 16S ribosomal RNA". It matches the Rfam family "Bacterial small subunit ribosomal RNA", at positions 509 to 809 of the family's 1533-position model. The record is from RNAcentral.